GCCGGAGUAGCUCAACUGGUAGAGCAACUGACUUGUAAUCAGUAGGUUGAGGGUUCAAGUCCUUUCUCCGGCA
This is a transfer RNA of Planomicrobium sp., 73 nucleotides long. It matches the Rfam family "tRNA". From Rfam's summary of the family: Transfer RNA (tRNA) molecules are approximately 80 nucleotides in length. Their secondary structure includes four short double-helical elements and three loops (D, anti-codon, and T loops). NCBI's taxonomy places the organism in Bacteria, Bacillati, Bacillota, Bacilli, Caryophanales, Caryophanaceae. The record is from Rfam.